RNAcentral lists this ribosomal RNA (422 nucleotides) under uncultured Oscillospiraceae bacterium. RNAcentral describes it as "bacterial SSU rRNA". It matches the Rfam family "Bacterial small subunit ribosomal RNA", at positions 355 to 794 of the family's 1533-position model. The record is from RNAcentral. Lineage: Bacteria; Bacillati; Bacillota; Clostridia; Eubacteriales; Oscillospiraceae.
UGGGGGAUAUUGCGCAAUGGGGGAAACCCUGACGCAGCAACGCCGCGUGAAGGAAGAAGGUCUUCGGAUUGUAAACUUUUGUCUUGUGGGAAGAUAAUGACGGUACCACAGGAGGAAGCUCCGGCUAACUACGUGCCAGCAGCCGCGGUAAUACGUAGGGAGCGAGCGUUGUCCGGAUUUACUGGGUGUAAAGGGUGCGUAGGCGGCUGAUUAAGUCAGGUGUGAAAUACCGCAGCUUAACUGCGGGGCUGCACUUGAAACUGAUCGGCUUGAGUGAUGGAGAGGUAAGCGGAAUUCCUAGUGUAGCGGUGAAAUGCGUAGAUAUUAGGAGGAACACCAGUGGCGAAGGCGGCUUACUGGACAUUAACUGACGCUGAGGCACGAAAGCGUGGGGAGCAAACGGGAUUAGAUACCCUGGUAGU